Rattus norvegicus (Norway rat) is the source of this 7831-nucleotide non-coding RNA. Lineage: Eukaryota; Metazoa; Chordata; Mammalia; Rodentia; Muridae. The record is from RefSeq and is a predicted model, not a curated record.
GAUGGUGGGGUGAUAGGUGGGUGUUGGGGAUUGGCUCUAAUGCUUUGAUUUAAUUGGGAAUCUGUGUUGUCCAAAUGGUGAAGAUCUUGUUCUCAAUUGGUUUUUGAUCUAUCAAUAAAGAUGGCAGCUGCUAAUGGCUAAGUGAUCGAAGAGAUAGGGAAGGACCCUAGGCUAGGAACUGAGAAGGGAAAAGGCAGAGAAUUGCCAUGACGUGGUGGAGACAGAUCAGACUUAGAGCUUCAGGAGAGAGAGCCAACGAGCCACGUAAGAAUUCAGGUGGGUGAGAGGCCACUGGCCACUCCCGGAUUGGGCCUGGGGUAGCAAAGGGUUAGAACUGCCCAGCCUUUGAACCAGCCAAGGCAUUUUAAAAUUAACUUGUGCGCGGGUGUGCGCGUGCACGUGUGUGACUUUCGUUCUCGGAUCCAAAGAUUCUCUGGGCAGGUUGCUGAGAGCACGACCCACCGGGAGCACAAAGCGGGGUAGCCCAGACUCACCGCCACAGGUGGAUGAUGGGAUGGAGAGAAAUGAGGUGGAGGAAAACAGGAAACUUUGCUCCUGCCUGGCUCACACAUCCACUGGGCACUGAUCUCCUUUCUGACAAGUGACUGAGCACCUACUAUGUGCAAGGUCUUCACUUCAAUCACUUAUUUCUUUCCACAGUGCAGCAGAAGAGGGUGUGGCCAUCUUCCUGCUGUUGAUGAAAUGCCUGAGGACCCAGGAGCCCCAAGGAAAAGGAAAGUCUGGAGAGCUACCAUGCCUAUGCAGGUGACGUCGGCCUCUGAGACGACUCCUAUCCUGUGGGUGCUGUGACAGUUCCCUGGGCCACUGGAAUUACCAGGUCAGUCCCCCAUGUUCCUCCUCCAUGGGAAAAUCUUUUGGAGCUUCUCCCCAGGCCUCAGCAAAAAUGCCGAGAUUACCACAGAAGAGCCCAGGUUAACUGUACAACAAUCUGGUAAGUUUCUGCCACUUUUAAUUGAUAUGGUGGCUAUUUGGUUCAUACUUUCUGCUCACUCCAGUAAAACCUACCUUUCUUAGAUCUCUGUGAGAGAUGCUGAGAGCUGGCCUCACCAGCCUAGGGUUUCAGGCCCUCUCCACCAUUCCCACUGGACCACGAGGGCACUCACCCCUUCCCCAUUAUGCCUAGCUGCCCAACCCCUUUACUGGGCAGGGAUGUGAUGGCUAAAUUUUCUUUUUCUUCUCAACCAACUCCUUCCAGAAUUUUCCUCCCCUUCCAACCUCUUAAGUGCCUCCUUACUGAUCAGCUGACACUAAUGUUCCUUCUUAUCCUCUUCCAGGCUUUCUUGAUCCAAAGUAUGGGGUACCCCACUCACUCGGUAGCUUCUGAUCACCUCCCCUCCACCAUUAAGAUCCUAGUCUGACCCUACCUCCUAUCCCUGUUGCUCUUGUAUCUCUUUAAAAUAUAGACAGGGCUUAAAACCUAUGAAACAAUGCCUUCUUAUAUUUUUGGUUGUGAGCUUAGCCAUUAAUGGCUGAGCCAUCUCUCCAGCCCAAAACAAUGCCUUCUUAAUAAGGGUAUCUCAAGCCCACUUACUCACCCUAUAACACUCCCAUCCUGCCUGUCCUAAAGCCUGGUGCCCCUGCCACUUGAUCCAGGACCUCAGGAUGAUUAACACAGUUGUCCUUCCAAUAUAGCCCGUGGUGCCUAACCUUACACUCUUUCUCAGAUCCCUCCUUUAGCUCACUUCCCUGUUCUAGACCUUAAGAACCUCUUCUUACCAUUCCUGCCUGCCUCCAGGGCUCUUCCCAGCCUGUGGACUCUUUUGAUUUCCCUGCUCUAUGUGGUCAAAGACAGAUCAGUCCCCAGGUUCCUUCUCCAAAGGAAAACCUUUCAGACCUGGGUCUGGGAGCCAAAGGCCAACACUGCUCUGUGUGGCGACUGAAGAUUAAAUGCUUUCCUAAAUGAUAGCAAGAAGACCUACAGCAACUGCUCCAAGGAAGCCACUGAGACCAUGGGAGCCUAUGGUAGCCAUCUAGGUAGUAGAUGAGUCUCUGUGGUUUUCACUGAUACACAGGCCGUUUAGAUUACAUCUCCUACUAUAAUGUAUCCUUCUCAGAUCUCUGAUGGUGUUGACUGAUUGCAGCUUUAACAGCUGCAGCAUACCAGCUCCUCCCUGAAGGCUACAGCUGCUUUCUCUCCAUCCUUAAAAAUCAGGCCUCGGGCCUCACUUUCCUCAGUCUCCGGCUGAGGAAAUAGUUUACCUUGCCCAGACUCUGAGGAGAUAAACUCACAAAUACUUUUAACCCAAAAUCACUCCCAGGUAACCCAACUUUCACUAUGACUCAAAGGCAUGAGUGAUGCCUUCUUAUGAUAUGGACUUCAGAACGGGUUGCAAGCAAUGGCAGUGCUAGCAUAUCUGAAACUUUUAUCUCUUUUUGUAAACUUAAAAAGAUAUUCUUGUAAGCUUGCAGGUCAAACAGACUCCAGAUAAGCACUCCUGUCAAUCAACCCCUGGUUUCCCCGCCUACUGCCUAUUCCUGAGGGAGGGAUCUCUUCCUGCUUUCCCUGGUCUUGAGACUCCCCUCCCCCCAACUACUGGGCCUGUGGGUCUGGAAGAUUCAAAUGUACACCCAAGAUAAUCUAUAUUUGUCCCUAAUCUAUAUCUGUUCCAGCAGAUAUCCAAUCAACUAAAAACUGCAAACUGCCCAAACUCACCAGCCCUAGGUGUCUUUGCUGGAAUCUCCAACCAGCAUGAACCUUUGCAUCCUACGGGACUCAGAUGAGAUAGGCCCUGGUUCAGUCUCACAGACUGUUCCAAUGCAGCCUGCACUUCCCCAGCUCCAGAUGGUCCCGCCAAGCCUGGCCCCAAGCAGUGAGUGAAACAGUCUGCUCUUCCUGUCCUUGACCAGCAUUCCAGCUUUCUUGGGUCCCCAACAAUGACACCCCAAUAUCAGAAGGAAGUAGUCAUGGAAAAAAAUUACAUCACCCUUAUUUAUUGUCAACAAAGAGGCUGGGAUAUUAUUAAGUCUCAAACACAGGACAAAUGGCUAACAGAGGUGCUCAUUAACAUAUCAAAGUGGACUUGGCCUCCAGGUUCUCCCAGCAUCCCUCAGUUCCUACCUGUUAAGGGGUAUGAUUGGUAUACCCUGCCCCCUACCCUAAACUUUUCCAACCCAGGGGCUGGGCUGCCUGUCCUCCACCUGCCCUUUACUGUAUAACCCAGACAUUUUGGUUAACCAGCCUUCUGGUCUCCCCUUUACCCUCCUGAGCUCCUGGCGCUCCCCUAUCCCCUCCCGCUUCUCACACGGACAGCUCAGGGUCCUGUUCACUCUGGACUUUCCCAGAUGUCUCUGUCUCUGCCUAUUCCCUCCCCUUUAUCCACAAUGACCUCUCUCCUCCACCACACCUAGGAGCAGUCAUUUUUUUUAAUAUUUUUAUUUCUUUUGCUCAUCUCUCAGCUCCACUAGCUCCUGUUAAGCUGACCAUGCCAUAGCCUCCUCUGACCAUGUGGUAGUCUGUCCCUCCGCCACCAGGCACUAACUACUUCUCAGAAGGCAGAGUCGUUACCUUAGCAGGAGACAAAAUCAUCAACAUAUGCACAGAGUCUAAGUGUGCUUUUCACGUUCUGCACAGCACACUUCCAUUUGGCAGGAGAGAAGAGGGGCUUUCUCACAAGGCAUGCUGAUUACCAAUGGGCUUCUCACUCCAAAGCUGCUAGAAGCUUCUCAUUCUUCCAAGCACGUGGCAGUUAUUCACCUGGGAGGUCACCGGGUGUACUAAAGAUACAGCCGGUGAGGAGGCUAGCCAACAUGCCUACCAUCCUUUCUCCAUUCUCUUAACUCCUCCAAGCCUAACUUCUACCUGCCCAGUCUCAAAGACAGGGCCCUCAGGGCUGGUUGCUUCUCCAAGGCAGAGACUGUCUCUCUGAUGCUUGAACAAAGCCUUUCCUAACAGUUAUUUAGAAGUCUUCUCACACUGGAGCUCUGCCUCUCUACCGCCUCCUCUAACCUACCUGUCUUUUCCACCUCCCUAUAGCCACCACCCAAGGACCCUCUGCCUGUACUCAACCCCCUCCCCAUCAGUUUUGGAGUGAUCUCCCGGGGGUGGGGGCAACAAGAGGCAUGAAGAUCUUCUUCCUACUACAAAGGAAGGGUAGAUGCUCUUCCUGAUAUAGCUGAGACUGCAGAAGUGGUCUGUUCCUGCCUCAGGAACAACAUUUUGGACUUCCUAGAUCCACACACGGUCUGGCAUGCAUCUCUAAAGUCAGUCAGUUAGUCCCAAGGGCCUUAGGGGUACAGUGGCACCUCCACAUUCCCUCCCACCCCCAGUCCUCAGGGGAGGUUGGAAGGGCUAAGGGACACCUCUUCCCUCUCACCUUCCUCGGUUUCAGGCCACACCCAAGGCUCUUCCUCCCUUAGCCCUUUGGGUAGAUGUACAGCCGUCCCUUUCUUCUCUGGAAUCCACCCUAAUAUAUGACUGCCCACCUCCUUUCUCUCUUUUAAGAUGCUUUUUGUGGGAAUAAAUUGAUGGUGUGCUCCCUGGGCCCUCCACUAAACCUGUCACCCAAACCAUUCUACAGAAGGUUGAGUUUGUUUGAAGAUCUCUCAUCACAGGCUCUCCCCCCACACUGGAUGGGUACUGAUUCGAUCAUCCUUGAUACACCAAUGGUGGCUGAGCUCCAAUGGUGGCUGAGCUCCAAGGAUCUCAUCUGUCACAGCUCGAAUGGGCUCCAGACCUGGAUCUGAUAAGGCCUCCUGCCUCUCAACUGGGCCUCUAAAACUUAAGCUCUCCUGCCUAUGUCUACCCCUGAGGAUGAGCUCUUUCCUCCCGCCCCUGUUGGGGCUCUCUGUCUCCAUACCUCCCAGGCAACUCAACCAGCAUGGAAAUUCCAGAUAUUUGCUACUCAAACUAGUGAAUUUCAUGGUUCCUCCUUUCUGUCCAGCCUCCUGUUGCCUCUAUGAUAUGAUCAAUCUGAACUUUGACCACCAGGUAGCAUGAUUCCACAGCUGUGGUAAUGAACAAGCCGGCUUCAAUCCCCAUAACAAUCCCAGAUACUUUUUCUCCCCCAAGAUCAAACAAACCCAGCCUAGAUAGAUGAUCUCUCCUGGGGUAGAUGCCCACACUUGGAGCAAUAGGUACCAUUACUCUGAACCAUGACAGGGCAUACAGCUUCAACAGUUCCACCAUGGGUCCCGGCCAGGUAUGGUCACCAUUUCAAUUCCAGACCCCUGGGAUGAAAAAUUGGCCCAAAGGGUCAUGGGACAUAUCUACAUCUAUAUUCUGUGGGCUAGUCCAUCUCCUGGAGGGCUGGUGGCAAUUUUUAGAAUCCUUGAGAAAGCACUAGCUGCCUUUAUAAAUGGUGUUAUUAGAAAUUCUGAGUCUAUCCUGCUGGCUAAGCUGCCUGAGACCUCGCCCCACCUUCUGGAAGGCUGUUCUAAAGGAAAGUGUCUUUUCCACACGUAAGCAGAAUGACUCAUCCACAUGCUUUCUAUGUGUUCCCGUUACAAUCCCUUGUGAAAGCUAUUCCUCUUACCCUCAUAGCCCUAAACUCCAUAACCCACACACCUUUCACCCGCUUCACCUCCGGUAACUCUCUACUCUCUGAAGACACCAGGUGACUGCCUCUUCCACAGCUCUUUCCAGCCCCGCCCUUCAUCGGCACAGACUAACAUCUCGAUUUCAGGAAUCUUCCUUACCCCUGAAGGAACUCUCUUCUGGUGACAAUCAGGCUCCACUAGUGUGGAGACAAAUCCACUCAUGGUCCUUGCUUCUCCAAUCUGUCACUAUCCCCAACUCACUCUAGACACCAAAUGUGAGUUCUACACUCUGCUCCAAGUCACACACAGGAACUGAUGGGCCAUGGCUCUCCCAGCCAUUCCUGGGGUUAGCCUGGCAGCGUCAGCAACUCCUGCAGGCUUGACCAUAGGCAGAUUGGGUCAUAAUCUGUAUCUAUCUCAGUAAAUUUCUACCGGACACUAUCCAGGAAUCAACCUCAGUUCGGCUCAGCUCCCCAUGGCCUUUGUGGCCCUGCAAAACCAAAAAGCCCUGAACCUGCAGAUUGCUGGAAAGGGAGGCCCUUGCCUCUUCCUCACUGAAGAGUGUUGCUACUGUGUGAAUGAGUCCAGCCAAGGAGAAGAGAAGAGUAAAAACUUAAAUGAACUGGCUCACAAACAAUAGCCUCACGGGGCCAACUCCAAGGCGGGCUCCUCUUCUCUUGCGUCCCUGACUCCUCCCCAUUCUGGGUCCAUAAUAUCUAUACUUCUCAUAAUAACGAUUCUUCCCUCUCUCUUCAGAUUCCUUCAAGACAGAAUUGGUGGGAUUUCCCACCAGUUAGUAAAACAGAAGCUUCUGACAGAAUUUCACCAGCUCUCCUACCAUUGCUGGCCUAAACACUCACACACACUCACACACACACUCGCACACACCCCAACUCUGACCGACGGUCCAGCCUUCCUGAAAACCCAACAACAUAGUCCUUGCCCAGCUUGAAGAAGCUAGAGAUUAUCAAUGUCCCUUAUCCUCAACAAAAGGCUGGAGUGUUAGGUCCUAACCCCCAAAAUGGCAGUCUGGGCUCAGCUCAGGAUGGACUCUGACCAGGCAAACAGAAGGAUUGUUACUGAAGGUCAGCAUUCCUAGAAACCUUGUAAAGAGGGUUUCUGGUUCUCAGGAAAAAGCCAUUACUUUCUUAUCUGCCUCCACCAGCCCCCUCCAGCUCCCCACCUCCAGGCAGGCAUCUAGUUCCCUAUUAACCCAAACAAGUUUGCAACAGAUCAAAGCCCUGUGUUCAUCCCCCACACAGUUCCAGCUCUCAGGCUCCCUCCUGGCAGCUACCUGCCCUCUUUAAAGCCAUACUCCUUGGCUCUCCUCUCUGACCUGGGAGAGAUAGCCUUGGCAGUUUGGGUUAACUUUUCCUUUCCACCAAGGAGUGGCUGGUUUCGUGAUUUUACUACAAUCUCACACCCAUCUUUAGACAGAGAGACUUUGCGAGUAAGCUUGCCAUCUGCAAGGCCAAGCUUCUUGAAGAGCUUUUCAUGAGUCCAGAGGACCACAUACUACCUCAGUAGUCCCCCCCCCCCACAACUACCGAAGGGUAAGAACCACCAUUAAGUGAUAAACAAUGGAAAAGACCAAAGGCCCAAAGGUCAUAGAGCUAUCUAUGUAUGGCCCAGGAAAAGAAGAGCACUCUUUGCUUCCUGCCGUAUUUCUGGAUUAGGGUUCAGACCAUACAUGAUUGACAGAAAACUCCCAGGGAAUGCCAGAGCUGGCCAGGUACCCGUUCAGCUGGGCCAGGCCCAGAGUGGAUGAUGGUAGGCGAACAUCCAGGGGACUCCAGCCAAAGAGAGCGGACAUGUUAGUUUUAAAUAUGUAUUUCUAUUUAUUUAGUAGCAUUGGACUUUGAUUAAAGCUAGAGUCUCAAGCCUGUUAGCCAGCAUUUUGUCACUGAUAAAUUAUUUUGAAGAUAAUUUUUCCAUUUAUCUAUUACUGGGCUGGGGAUAGACAGUAGAGGUUAGACCUAGACGCUUACAGCAGCAAAUUCUCUUCUUCCACCACUGAGUGUCUUUACCUGCUGAACCAUCUCACCAGCCCCCUUUUUUUUUUUUUUUUUUUUUUUGGUUCUUUUUUUCGGAGCUGGUCACCAGCCCCUUUUUGACACCACCCACCCACCCUUUUUGAGACAGAGUUGCCUAUGUGUUUGUCGAGCCUGCUCUUAAGCUCAGAGGAACAGAGGCAAGCCUUGUGGUCCUCCUUCUUCAGUUGCUCCAGCAGUGGAGUUUACAAGCCUGCACUAUCUGGCCUGGCAUACCAUGAUUAGUACCGUACUGUGCAAAUUAUCACAUGCCCUGAUAAAAUGAAUUGGAUCUUGUGGUGUUG